GCGGCAGUAGCUCAAUGGUAGAGCAUCAGCUUCCCAAGCUGAGGGUUGCGGGUUCGAUCCCCGUCUGCCGCU
This 72-nucleotide transfer RNA is filed under the name bacterium. RNAcentral describes it as "tRNA-Gly". It matches the Rfam family "tRNA". From Rfam's summary of the family: Transfer RNA (tRNA) molecules are approximately 80 nucleotides in length. RNAcentral also lists the same sequence under 1 other name. The record is from RNAcentral.